Molecule: long non-coding RNA, 3365 nt
Organism: Tetranychus urticae (two-spotted spider mite)
Lineage: Eukaryota; Metazoa; Arthropoda; Arachnida; Trombidiformes; Tetranychidae
Source: RefSeq, a predicted model, not a curated record
AUUAUGAGGUUGAUUAAUUUAUUAGCCAUUUUAUAUGGUUACGCUAAAUCUAUUCAUGGUUAUGUUAUUGUUUUGGAUACAUUAACCUUUGUUGAUUGAAGGAAAAGUUAAAUUAUUUCAUUUAUUAAGAUAUCAAUGAUUUAUUAAUUUCCUUGGUUAACUUGAACCUCGCGCUUUACCCUUUUUCCCCUUUUGUGUUACCCUAUUUCCUAUGACACAGCAUGAGAUUGCAUUUUUAUUUUACCAUAAAUUGUCUCAUUGUUUAAUUAUUUUUAUUAAAUUUUCAUUUGUGAUUUAUUUAAAUUUAGUUUUUUUGAUUUGAAAGCUUAAUCAGUUUUUUUUGCUUGAGAAAACACAAUUGGUAUUUACAUUCAGCUGAAUUUGUGAUAUUAAAUAUGAACUUAUUUCAUGGCCUGUCUCGACAUUUAUUGGUUGUCAUUGAUUCAAAAAUGGGCUUGUUGAACAAUUGGAUAUCAGUGGUCGAACUCGAGUGUAACGUUACAGCUUAUAAUGGUUAUGGCAAAAAGCUAUUUUUCUGGUUCUUCAACUCUCUUUUGCUUGUUUAUCAUCUGUAACUGAUCAGAAGGCAUUGAGAUGAUGACAAAUUGGGCGAAACCAUAUUUUACAGCCUUCAUGAAAUAGCAAUUUGAACAGUCCAUUUUCCUCACAAUUUCCAUAUGGUUCAGUAAACACGUAUUUUCAUCACGUGUCCAGCUGUUUUUGCAUAUGUAAGGCACGACAAAAGGUUACAGUCACGAACUUCCGUUUUCAGUUGGCCUUAAAUCAAUCAAUUUGAAUCACAAACAUCAUCAAAUGAAAAAAUUUGCAACAUUUUACAAUCGAGUCAAAUGGAUGGUAAACAGAGUACAAGCUUAAGUAGAUGGCAAUGAUAUCAAUAUUGGAGGGAAAAAAGCCUAUUGGAAUCAAUUCAAAUUGAGAUCAAGAUGUAAUGAUAAUUUAUGACUACAUUAUCUUGAAAUUUUCAGGUUUUGGGAAGCCCAGCAUUUUGAAGAAAGUCAAAACUUCACGCUAUUCUCGAUCAACUUUUGUUUUUCACUCAAAAAUUCACGAUUGUGGUUUAUAUUAGCAUUUGAAAGGAGCACCAUUAUCAAGUUUAUCAUCAAAGUGGAAAAGAUUUGAAAAGAAAUUAAAAGAUGUUGCUGAUGAUGAUGGAGAAGUAAAAAGAUGAGCCAUUCUUAAAGACAAUUGGAUAACAAGUUGAAAGAUGAUGAAAAUAAGAUUUACUUCCGCGCUAUUUGGAUUCACUCUUGUUGAUCAAGUAAAUCAAAAGUUGGAUACAAUAAUAUUUAAACAACAAUUGAACUACAAUCAUUAUGUACGGCCAUAUACAUUGAAACAAUUGAAUCAUUAGCAUAGACACAAUUAAGUCUGCUAACCAGCAAUUAGUUACAAACCAAAUUGCUCUAAUUGUUUCCUAUUAACACUUUAUGACUUUCUAUUAUUACAAACCAGAUUAUGGCAAUGUUAUUUGACCAGUUUCCAUAGUGAUUGCUGUUAUUGAUGACAAUUGCAACAAAAAUGAUGAACCAAGAGAAGGAUCAAAGUUGCAUUACCAUACAAAGAAAUGAUGGAUUGAACAAAAGAUUUAUAUUUCCUAGUCUGUCAAGUCUAACCAGCAAAUUUGGCCCAAAUUUCAACCGCUAACGAAAACAACAUUCAACCGAGAUGAUAAUUUUGUUUAAUGUUACCUUAAGUGGUGGCGAAAAUUAUGAUAAUCAAAGGCAAAAGGUUGAUUAUCAUACAAUGACAAGAGUCGCUAAUUUCAUUAUAAAAUACCUUAUUAAGAGUUUGGUGUAAUGUUGAGGCUACUACUCACUGCAAGAAGCUGGUUGCCAGUAUAAAGAUGUAAAGAUAUUUAAAGCUCUCAACAUUAAAGUAACCUCAACAAAAGAUAGAGCCUGAUGUUAAUUAUGAUCACGAUGCUAUUUAAACUUAACUAGCUUAACCAAGAAUAACUGUUUGUUUCACUGGAACUUCCGCAGAGAAUCCUGAUUCUUUCUCACAUAAAUCAUCAUCAACUUCAUUUUCAACAUGAUCAUCAACAAGAGCAACAACAAUAUCAACAAUGAUCAACAGCAAAAGGUCAGGUCAAUGUAUAUAUUAGAAUUGACUAAUGAUAAUAAUCAAGACCAAUAUACAUAAAUGAUGGAUUGACUUUGAAACAGAUUUACUCAACACUUUUCUCAUGUAAAAUAGACUUGAAUUGUGUGUGUUUAAAUUGUAAAAGGGUGACUUUAAAGUGACUCUUGAAAUAAAUAUCAUUACGACAAUGAUAUUUGCUUCACAACGGAAAGUUGAAAAACAAUCAAACUAUCCUUGAGAUGAAGUCGAUCCUGAAUUGAUAUUGGGAAAAAUUGUCUGACGAACAAGUUUCAAGAUGAAGUUUCAAUUUUUUUUCUUUAUUGGAAAAGAAACUGAUUUCAAUUCAAUUCAUCCAGAACUUACAUCAUUAUUUAGAUUUACACUUUGGUUUGCUUUUCUCCAGCCUUUCCAUUGCUUACACAUUGAGAAACUUGUAGCUGGAAAAGUUGCUCACAUUUUUUCCUGUUUCAUGGUUAUAUUGCGGCUUUUGUUUGUUUACCAACCCAAGCAACGAUUUGAAAUUCAAUAUCCUGACAAAGGUAAUACAAAUGAAUUGUUGAAUGGUUCAAGAAAACGUUCAAUUUAUUAACUUGAAGUAUCUCAAUUUAUCUUAAUUGUUAUCACCUCUUUCACUGUAAUCACCUUCAAGGUUGUGACAAGUUAACACUUACUGUUAAUUGAGAUUGAAAUUCAAUUGUGAAUAUUCAUGAUUAUGUGUAUUCAUGUUGCAACUUUUCCAGUUGAAGGAAAUAUCAGAUGAAAGUAAAAAUUGUUAUCAAUUUUCAGUUUUACUUUUCCGUCUGCAAAAGCGCUAAACUUGAUGUAAAUUUGGCCUUCUUUUGCACUUUGAUUUGCUCAGGAUAAUUCUUGGACAAGAAUCACCCAGAGAAACAACUUCUCCUAUUCUCAGAGUGAAAUUAUCAUGUUACACUCAAAUGUCAUUUGACGUCAACUUGUUUCAACAUUACAUGGAAGCCAGGAAAUUGGCUAUUCUUUGCUAUUCUCAAGUCCAGUGACAAGAUUAACAAAUGAUGGGUUCACCUGAUAAUUAACUGUAUUAAAGAUGAAAGCUGACCAAAUUAAAGAUCAUUUAGAGAUGGAAAACAAAAGGAGAAAAAUUUAAUCUAGUUUGUUAAUUUUGUCAGUUUGAGAUGAUAGGAGAAACAUUCAGAGUUUACAAUUAACUUGACAUAAUUACAUUGCUUGAUAAAGGGAAAGGUUAAAGGGUUUCUAAUCUGCUUAUUAAAGUCAAUUUAAACUGA